Long non-coding RNA from Callithrix jacchus (white-tufted-ear marmoset), 1928 nucleotides. RefSeq lists it as uncharacterized. NCBI's taxonomy places the organism in Eukaryota, Metazoa, Chordata, Mammalia, Primates, Cebidae. The record is from RefSeq and is a predicted model, not a curated record.
GUUUGGAAAACUCUGCCCCUACCGUGAAAGCUCUCUUUCCCUCCCCCAUGAAGAGGCUCCCUUAUCUCUCACUCUACAUGUUUGGAAAACUCUGCCCCUACCGCAAAAUCUCUCUCUCUUUCCCUCCCCCACAAAGAGGCUCCCUUAUCUCUCACUUUACAUACCGGCCCUAGCCCUCCCGCCGCCCAGCUUCCCGCCCAGCAGUUCAAACUGACCAACAGUUGCCCACCACCUCGGCUUUUGGCUUCCCCACCCCCCAGCCCUUCAGCCCCCUAUAAAACAACCCUGCCCCUCUGAGCGGCGCGGCCAUUUUUCCUUUUCGUCCCGGCUGGUCCGCCCGGAGGCUCUUUCCUCUCAAUAAAGCCUGAACUUAAGGAAUUUCCUCUAGCCUGCGGUCCGGUUUCUUUCCCAAUGAGCUCAGUCUUCCCGCAGAGGAGACGAAGUUUCACCAUGUUGCCCAGGAUGGUCUUGAACUCCACCUGCCUUGGCCUCCCAGAGUGCUGGGAUCACAGGCUGAAGUCCAAUGAUGCGAUCUUGGCUCACUGCAACCACUGCCUCCCAGGUUCAAGCAAUUCUCUUGCCUCAGCCUCCUGAGCAGCAGGGAUUACAGAAUCUCACCCUGUCACCAGCCUGGAGUGCAAUGGCACAAUCUCAGCUCACUACAACCUCUACCUCCCAGGUUCAAGCGAUUGUUCUGCCUCAGCCUCCCUAGUAGCUGGGAUUACAGGUGCCUGCCACCACGCCCAGCUAUUUUUUGUAUCUUUAGUAUAGACAGGGUUUCACCAUGUUGGUCAGGCUGAUCUUGAACUACUGACCUCAUGAUCCACUCGCCUCGGUCUUCCAAAGUGCUGGGAUUACAGGCGAGAGCCAUUGCGUCUGGCCCGUUGUCUUAUAUUUUCUACCUGAAGAAUCUUGCAAAUCUACCUCAGGGGUGAAAUCUUUCUCCACUGGUCCAGAUCAGGGUUUGGGGUGUGGGGAGCAGUUAGUGAGAAGAUCUGAUUAGAUAAUCAUAGGCCAUGAGCUUACAAGGGCAAAACCUUUGCCGUGAUCAUCUCUGUAUCCCUAGAAUAUAACGGAGUCUCAUUAAAUAUUUGACCUGAUAGUAGGUGAGAGGACACUUGGAACUGUGUCAGAGACCGCACCUGAGUAUUUACAUCCAGCCCCGGACUGGACAUUAGAGACACACUCCCUAAUAAAUGUAAACUGAAGAUAAUCUUUUGUUUUACUCACAUAGCAUUUUUUAAAAGAUGUGACUUUGGGCUUUAUAUUCUAAAAUUGGUAACUGGCUGAGGAUGGUGGCUCACACCUAUAAAUCCCAACACUUUGGGAGGCUGAGGCAGGAGGAUUGCUUGAGCCCAGGGGUUCAAGACCAGCCUAGGCAGCAUAGUGAGACUCCCCAUCUAUUCAAAAAAUUAAAAUUAAAAAAUGAGCCAAAUGUGGUGGCACAUGCCUGUACUGCCAGCUACUUGAAAGGCUGAGAUGGGAGGAUCACUGGAACCCAGGAAUCUGAAGCUGCAGUGAACUAUGAUAGUGCCACUGCACUCCAGCCUGGGAGACAGAACGAGACCCUAUCUCAAAAAAAUAUAAAAUAAAUAGGAAGUGGCCCGGCUUGGUGGCUCACGCCUGUAAUCUUAGCACUUUGGAAGUCUAAGGCGGCCUGACCUCACUUGAGGUCAGGGGUUCAAGACCAGCCUGGCCAAUAUGGUGAAACCCCGUCUCUACUAAAACUAUAAAAAUUAGCUUGGCAUGAUUGCAUGCUCCUGUAGUCCCAGCUACUCAGGAGGCUGAGGUAGAAUUGCUUGAACCCAGCAGGUGGAGAUCCCAGUGAGCCAAGAUCAUGCCAUUGCACUCCAGCCUGGGCAGUAGAGUAAGACUCCAUCUCAAAAACAAAAACAAAAACAAAAAACACACAGGAAGCUAUCACCUAA